RNAcentral lists this ribosomal RNA (450 nucleotides) under uncultured bacterium. RNAcentral's name for it is "partial 16S ribosomal RNA". It matches the Rfam family "Bacterial small subunit ribosomal RNA", at positions 354 to 796 of the family's 1533-position model. The record is from RNAcentral.
GUGGGGAAUAUUGGACAAUGGGAGCAAGCCUGAUCCAGCCAUACCGCGUGGGUGAAGAAGGCCUUCGGGUUGUAAAGCCCUUUUGUUGGGAAAGAAAUCCUGUCGGUUAAUACCUGGCGGGGAUGACGGUACCCAAAGAAUAAGCACCGGCUAACUUCGUGCCAGCAGCCGCGGUAAUACGAAGGGUGCAAGCGUUACUCGGAAUUACUGGGCGUAAAGCGUGCGUAGGUGGUGGUUUAAGUCCGUUGUGAAAGCCCUGGGCUCAACCUGGGAAUUGCAGUGGAUACUGCAUCACUAGAGUGUGGUAGAGGGAUACGGAAUUUCUGGUGUAGCAGUGAAAUGCGUAGAGAUCAGAAGGAACAUCCGUGGCGAAGGCGGCAUCCUGGGCCAACACUGACACUGAGGCACGAAAGCGUGGUGAGCAAACAGGAUUAGAAACCCUAGUAGUCC